This 429-nucleotide ribosomal RNA is filed under the name Verrucomicrobiota bacterium. Its description in RNAcentral is "Verrucomicrobia bacterium partial 16S ribosomal RNA". It matches the Rfam family "Bacterial small subunit ribosomal RNA", at positions 355 to 776 of the family's 1533-position model. The record is from RNAcentral. Lineage: Bacteria; Pseudomonadati; Verrucomicrobiota.
UAGGGAAUCUUCCGCAAUGGACGAAAGUCUGACGGAGCAACGCCGCGUGAGUGAAGAAGGAUUUCGGUUCGUAAAACUCUGUUGUUAGGGAAGAAAAAAUGUAUAGUAACUAUAUACAAAAGAGACGGUACCUAACCAGAAAGCCACGGCUAACUACGUGCCAGCAGCCGCGGUAAUACGUAGGUGGCAAGCGUUGUCCGGAAUUAUUGGGCGUAAAGCGCGCGCAGGUGGUUUAGAAAGUCUGAUGUGAAAGCCCACGGCUCAACCGUGGAGGGUCAUUGGAAACUAAUAAACUUGAGUGCAGGAGAGAAAAGUGGAAUUCCUAGUGUAGCGGUGGAAUGCGCAGAUAUUAGGAAGAACACCGGUGGCGAAGGCGGCCUUCUGGGCCAUAACUGACGCUGAGGAGCGAAAGCUAGGGGAGCGAACAGG